Molecule: long non-coding RNA, 806 nt
Organism: Corapipo altera (White-ruffed manakin)
Lineage: Eukaryota; Metazoa; Chordata; Aves; Passeriformes; Pipridae
Exons: 4
Source: RefSeq, a predicted model, not a curated record
CAUGGAUAGGAUUUCUUCUCUAUAGAAGUGCAGAUGUCCAAGGAUGUGAAUGUGCUGGCCCACAGUGGAAGAGGAGGUGGAGGACCUUGGAUUCCAGGGAGAGAAGCUGGAGAACAGUGCAGAAAGAAGGAAGCUGUGAAGGAAAUCGGAGGCAAAUGGAAGACAGACCUUCAUUCUCAUUGCUGCAGCUGUUCCUGCCUUGAGGCAGUGAAAGGAACUCCUAUUUGCUCUGCACCCCUGCACUGAUACACAAUUUCACUGGAACUGAGUCAUCUCCGAUGUAUCUGCUAAACCCUGGCUGAAGACAAGAUUAUCUCAACACAGCAAGAAUUUGAUAAUAAAACACCCAGGAGAACCAUACACUUGUGAAAGAAAAAAAGCAAUGGAACUGAAACCAAACACCUACUUGGUCAGCAGGAGAUCAGAAGUCCUGUUCGGCUCCUAGCAACCUGCCUGUCAGUCUGGAAUAUUGCUGUAAAAUCUAUGCAGUUAUGCUGCCUUCACAUGGAUGCCUCCAGCUAGAUGAAGUGUGUGUGUGUGUGUGUAAUUUGAGCUGGGGGGGAAUACCUGAAAUACUGCACUCCCAGAACCCUUUCCAGCAGCACAAGUUACUUGUUGCUUGAAUAACAAGCAUCCACAACUAAAUGUCACUUUGAAUUGUCCCAUUGACUCACUAACACCACACAAUAAAAUAGUCCUUUUCUUUCUGGGACUUAAGAGUGCUGCUCUGUCCGUGCCUGCACAGAUGGACACCUAUGUAAGCUGCAAACUGAAUGAGAAAACAACGUUCCCUGCUGGUUUGCGUU